AACGAACGCUGGCGGCAGGCCUAACACAUGCAAGUCGAGCGAACCCUUCGGGGUUAGCGGCUGACGGGUUAGUAACGCGUGGGAAUAUACCCUUUGGUACGGAAUAGCCUCGGGAAACUGAGAGUAAUACCGUAUGUGCCCUUGGGGAAGAUUUAUCGCCAAAGGAUUAGCCCGCGUUGGAUUAGAUAGUUGGUGGGGUAAGUGGCCUACCAAGUCUACGAUCCAUAGCUGGUUUGAGAGGAUGAUCAGCAACACUGGGACUGAGACACGGCCCAGACUCCUACGGGAGGCAGCAGUGGGGAAUCUUAGACAAUGGGCGCAAGCCUGAUCUAGCCAUGCCGCGUGGACGAUGAAGGCCUUAGGGUUGUAAAGUCCUUUCAGAUGGGAAGAUAAUGACGGUACCAUCAGAAGAAGCCCCGGCUAACUACCGUG
This 432-nucleotide ribosomal RNA is filed under the name uncultured bacterium. Its description in RNAcentral is "bacterial SSU rRNA". It matches the Rfam family "Bacterial small subunit ribosomal RNA", at positions 29 to 507 of the family's 1533-position model. The record is from RNAcentral.